Molecule: microRNA precursor, 113 nt
Filed under: Gossypium hirsutum (cotton)
Lineage: Eukaryota; Viridiplantae; Streptophyta; Magnoliopsida; Malvales; Malvaceae
Description: MIR7502 microRNA precursor family
Rfam family: MIR7502 microRNA precursor family
Source: Rfam by way of RNAcentral
UGUUAAAAUUUUUAUCCAUUUUUACAGUUAAGAACUGAAAUGGCUACUAGAAUAACCAGAUUCAGGCAUAUAGGACUAAUUUUUAAUAGUAAAAAUGGAUGAAAUUUAUAACC